This 537-nucleotide ribosomal RNA is filed under the name Synapturanus sp. Divisor. RNAcentral's name for it is "partial large subunit ribosomal RNA". It matches the Rfam family "Bacterial large subunit ribosomal RNA", at positions 1816 to 2597 of the family's 2925-position model. Lineage: Eukaryota; Metazoa; Chordata; Amphibia; Anura; Microhylidae. The record is from RNAcentral.
CUCCUCCCGCCCCCAUGGGAGGUCCCGCCUGCCCAGUGGACCAACUAAACGGCCGCGGUACUCUGACCGUGCUAAGGUAGCGCAAUCACUUGCCCCCUAAAUGAGGGCUAGUAUGAACGGCACCACGAGGGUUACCCUGUCUCCCCCCUUUAAUCAGUGAAACUAACCCCCCCGUGAAGAGGCGGGGAUGGCCAUAUAAGACGAGAAGACCCCAUGGAGCUUCAAACUCAUGUCACCCGCCACUAACACACCAACAAAACAAGCGGAUCUGACCUCUGUUUUAGGUUGGGGCGACCACGGAGUAAAACUCAACCUCCGAGACGAAACUUAAUUCAAGAAUGACCCUUCAAAAAUCAAAAAUCUGACGUAAUUGACCCAAAUUUAUUUGAUCAACGAACCAAGUUACCCUGGGGAUAACAGCGCAAUCCACUUCAAGAGCCCCUAUCAACAAGUGGGUUUACGACCUCGAUGUUGGAUCAGGGUACCCAGGUGGUGUAGCCGCUACCAAUGGUUCGGUUGUUCAACGAUUAAAACCCU